This 1507-nucleotide ribosomal RNA is filed under the name uncultured bacterium. RNAcentral's name for it is "16S ribosomal RNA". It matches the Rfam family "Bacterial small subunit ribosomal RNA". The record is from RNAcentral.
GAGUUUGAUCCUGGCUCAGAUUGAACGCUGGCGGCAUGCCUUACACAUGCAAGUCGAACGGUAACAGGUUAAGCUGACGAGUGGCGAACGGGUGAGUAAUGUAUCGGAACGUGCCCAGUCGUGGGGGAUAACUGCUCGAAAGAGCAGCUAAUACCGCAUACGACCUGAGGGUGAAAGCGGGGGAUCGCAAGACCUCGCGCGAUUGGAGCGGCCGAUAUCAGAUUAGGUAGUUGGUGGGGUAAAGGCUCACCAAGCCAACGAUCUGUAGCUGGUCUGAGAGGACGACCAGCCACACUGGGACUGAGACACGGCCCAGACUCCUACGGGAGGCAGCAGUGGGGAAUUUUGGACAAUGGGCGCAAGCCUGAUCCAGCCAUGCCGCGUGCGGGAAGAAGGCCUUCGGGUUGUAAACCUCUUUCAGUAGGGAAGAAGCGAAAGUGACGGUACCUGCAGAAGAAGCGCCGGCUAACUACGUGCCAGCAGCCGCGGUAAUACGUAGGGCGCAAGCGUUAUCCGGAAUUAUUGGGCGUAAAGAGCUCGUAGGCGGUUUGUCGCGUCUGCUGUGAAAGACCGGGGCUCAACUCCGGUUCUGCAGUGGGUACGGGCAGACUAGAGUGCAGUAGGGGAGACUGGAAUUCCUGGUGUAGCGGUGAAAUGCGCAGAUAUCAGGAGGAACACCGAUGGCGAAGGCAGGUCUCUGGGCUGUAACUGACGCUGAGGAGCGAAAGCAUGGGGAGCGAACAGGAUUAGAUACCCUGGUAGUCCAUGCCGUAAACGUUGGGCACUAGGUGUGGGGGACAUUCCACGUUUUCCGCGCCGUAGCUAACGCAUUAAGUGCCCCGCCUGGGGAGUACGGCCGCAAGGCUAAAACUCAAAGGAAUUGACGGGGGCCCGCACAAGCGGCGGAGCAUGCGGAUUAAUUCGAUGCAACGCGAAGAACCUUACCAAGGCUUGACAUGAACCGGAAAGACCUGGAAACAGGUGCCCCGCUUGCGGUCGGUUUACAGGUGGUGCAUGGUUGUCGUCAGCUCGUGUCGUGAGAUGUUGGGUUAAGUCCCGCAACGAGCGCAACCCUCGUUCUAUGUUGCCAGCGCGUUAUGGCGGGGACUCAUAGGAGACUGCCGGGGUCAACUCGGAGGAAGGUGGGGACGACGUCAAAUCAUCAUGCCCCUUAUGUCUUGGGCUUCACGCAUGCUACAAUGGCCGGUACAAAGGGUUGCGAUACUGUGAGGUGGAGCUAAUCCCAAAAAGCCGGUCUCAGUUCGGAUUGGGGUCUGCAACUCGACCCCAUGAAGUCGGAGUCGCUAGUAAUCGCAGAUCAGCAACGCUGCGGUGAAUACGUUCCCGGGCCUUGUACACACCGCCCGUCAAGUCACGAAAGUUGGUAACACCCGAAGCCGGUGGCCUAACCCUUGUGGGGGGAGCCGUCGAAGGUGGGACCGGCGAUUGGGACUAAGUCGUAACAAGGUAGCCGUACCGGAAGGUGCGGCUGGAUCACCUCCUUUCU